This 253-nucleotide ribosomal RNA is filed under the name uncultured bacterium. Its description in RNAcentral is "partial 16S ribosomal RNA". It matches the Rfam family "Bacterial small subunit ribosomal RNA", at positions 524 to 776 of the family's 1533-position model. The record is from RNAcentral.
UACGGAGGGUGCGAGCGUUAAUCGGAAUCACUGGGCGUAAAGCGCGCGUAGGCGGCCCGUUAAGUCGGAUGUGAAAGCCCCGGGCUCAACCUGGGAACUGCAUUCGGUACUGGCGGGCUAGAGUCCGGUAGAGGGGGGUAGAAUUCCAGGUGUAGCGGUGAAAUGCGUAGAUAUCUGGAGGAAUACCGGUGGCGAAGGCGGCCCCCUGGACCGAGACUGACGCUGAGGUGCGAAAGCGUGGGGAGCAAACAGG